GUACCUACGGGACGCAGCAGUGGGGAAUAUUGCACAAUGGGGGAAACCCUGAUGCAGCGACGCCGCGUGAGCGAGGAAGUAUUUCGGUAUGUAAAGCUCUAUCAGCAGGGAAGAAAAUGACGGUACCUGACUAAGAAGCCCCGGCUAACUACGUGCCAGCAGCCGCGGUAAUACGUAGGGGGCAAGCGUUAUCCGGAUUUACUGGGUGUACAGGGAGCGUAGACGGCGGCGCAAGUCCGGAGUGAAAGCCCACGGCCCAACCGCGGGACUGCGCUGGAAACUGUGCGGCUUGAGU
RNAcentral lists this ribosomal RNA (295 nucleotides) under uncultured bacterium. RNAcentral's name for it is "partial 16S ribosomal RNA". It matches the Rfam family "Bacterial small subunit ribosomal RNA", at positions 333 to 647 of the family's 1533-position model. The record is from RNAcentral.